RNAcentral lists this ribosomal RNA (253 nucleotides) under uncultured bacterium. Its description in RNAcentral is "partial 16S ribosomal RNA". It matches the Rfam family "Bacterial small subunit ribosomal RNA", at positions 524 to 776 of the family's 1533-position model. The record is from RNAcentral.
UACGGAGGGUGCAAGCGUUGUUCGGAUUUACUGGGCGUAAAGCGCGCGCAGGUGGGUGUGCAAGUCGGAAGUGAAAUCUCGAGGCUCAACCUCGAGGCUGCUCCCGAAACUGCUCGCCUAGGAACUGGUAGAGGCUGGUAGAAUUCCCGGUGUAGCGGUGGAAUGCGUAGAGAUCGGGAAGAAUACCUGUGGCGAAGGCGGCCAGCUGGGCCAGAUCCGACACUGAGGCGCGAAAGCGUGGGGAGCAAACAGG